GAUAAACGCUGGCGGCGUGCAUAACACAUGCAAGUCGAACGAAGUGGCGAACGGGUGAGUAACACGUGCGUAACCUGCCUUACACGAGGGGAUAGCCUUUGGAAACGAAGAAUAAUACCCUAUGGUGUAAGAUGGACUUGCGUCUGAUUAGAUAGUUGGUGAGAUAAAAGCCCACGAAGGCGACGAUCAGUAGCCGGCUUGAGAGAGGGUACGGCCACAUGGGGACUGAGACACGGCCCAAACUCUACGAGAGGCAGCAGUGGGGAAUUGUGCACAAGGGGGGAAACCCUGAUGCUGCGACGCCGAGGGAUUUAGAAGGCCUUAGGGUUGUAAAAAUCUUUUAUAUGGGAUGCAGUACCAUAAGAAUAAGGUCCGGCUAAAUACGUGCCAGCAGCCGCGGUAAUAC
RNAcentral lists this ribosomal RNA (406 nucleotides) under uncultured bacterium. Its description in RNAcentral is "partial 16S ribosomal RNA". It matches the Rfam family "Bacterial small subunit ribosomal RNA", at positions 28 to 526 of the family's 1533-position model. The record is from RNAcentral.